This is a long non-coding RNA of Melanotaenia boesemani (Boeseman's rainbowfish), 196 nucleotides long. RefSeq lists it as uncharacterized. The transcript has 3 exons. The record is from RefSeq and is a predicted model, not a curated record. Lineage: Eukaryota; Metazoa; Chordata; Actinopteri; Atheriniformes; Melanotaeniidae.
ACCAGAAAUUACAGCAAUGGCAAAGAGAAUAGUACUGUACUACCCCAUGCUACAGGACCAAGGCAUCAAGAAUACAUGGGUCACUGUGUAUGCACAGCUAUACAAAAGAAUGCAGAAUGUUAGAUCUCCCCAAAAAAACACUCCAGAUGGGAAAAGUUUUAAGAGCGCUACAAAGAGGCGCCGCCUUGAGCAGCCA